This 104-nucleotide microRNA precursor is filed under the name Dipodomys ordii (Ord's kangaroo rat). RNAcentral describes it as "microRNA 218-2 (ENSDORG00000021764.2)". The stretch from base 12 to 91 matches the Rfam family "mir-218 microRNA precursor family". From Rfam's summary of the family: The extents of the hairpin precursors are not known. In this case the mature sequence in excised from the 5'arm of the hairpin. Lineage: Eukaryota; Metazoa; Chordata; Mammalia; Rodentia; Heteromyidae. The record is from RNAcentral.
CCGUGGCCGCGGGGCCUUCCCUUGUGCUUGAUCUAACCAUGUGGCAGCUCUGCAAACGAAACAUGGUUCUGUCAAGCACCGAGGAAAGCCUGGCGUUCUCCAGC